UACGUAGGGUGCAAGCGUUGUCCGGAAUUAUUGGGCGUAAAGAGCUCGUAGGCGGCUUGUCGCGUCGGCUGUGAAAACUCGGGGCUCAACCCCGAGCCUGCAGUCGAUACGGGCAGGCUAGAGUCCGGCAGGGGAGACUGGAAUUCCGGGUGUAGCGGUGGAAUGCGUAGAGAUCGGGAAGAACAUCAGUGGCGAAGGCGGUCUGCUGGGCCGUUGCUGACGCUGAGGCGCGACAGCGUGGGGAGCAAACAGG
This 253-nucleotide ribosomal RNA is filed under the name uncultured bacterium. RNAcentral describes it as "partial 16S ribosomal RNA". It matches the Rfam family "Bacterial small subunit ribosomal RNA", at positions 524 to 776 of the family's 1533-position model. The record is from RNAcentral.